GAUUAACGCUGGCGGCGUGCCUAACACAUGCAAGUCGAACGAGGUAGCAAUACCUAGUGGCAGACGGGUGAGUAACGCGUGGUCAACCUACCCUCAAGUGGGGGAUAACUAGCCGAAAGGUUAGCUAAUACCGCAUGAAACAUAGCCGGGCAUCCGGUGAUGUUGAAAGGAGCAAUUCGCUCGAGGAUGGGACCGCGUCCGAUUAGCUAGUUGGUGAGGUAAUGGCUCACCAAGGCACCGAUCGGUAGCUGGUUUGAGAGAGCGACCAGCCACACUG
This 277-nucleotide ribosomal RNA is filed under the name uncultured bacterium. RNAcentral describes it as "partial 16S ribosomal RNA". It matches the Rfam family "Bacterial small subunit ribosomal RNA", at positions 28 to 315 of the family's 1533-position model. The record is from RNAcentral.